UACGGGGGGGGCAAGCGUUGUUCGGAAUUACUGGGCGUAAAGGGCUCGUAGGCGGCCAACUAAGUCAGACGUGAAAUCCCUCGGCUUAACCGGGGAACUGCGUCUGAUACUGGAUGGCUCGAGUUUGGGAGAGGGAUGCGGAAUUCCAGGUGUAGCGGUGAAAUGCGUAGAUAUCUGGAGGAACACCGGUGGCGAAGGCGGCAUCCUGGACCAACACUGACGCUGAGACGCGAAAGCGUGGGGAGCAAACAGG
RNAcentral lists this ribosomal RNA (253 nucleotides) under uncultured bacterium. RNAcentral describes it as "partial 16S ribosomal RNA". It matches the Rfam family "Bacterial small subunit ribosomal RNA", at positions 524 to 776 of the family's 1533-position model. The record is from RNAcentral.